This 774-nucleotide ribosomal RNA is filed under the name uncultured Neocallimastigales. Its description in RNAcentral is "partial large subunit ribosomal RNA". It matches the Rfam family "Eukaryotic large subunit ribosomal RNA", at positions 26 to 635 of the family's 3401-position model. The record is from RNAcentral. Lineage: Eukaryota; Fungi; Neocallimastigomycota; Neocallimastigomycetes; Neocallimastigales.
CGCAUCUGUGCAUGCAGCAUAUCAAUAAGCGGAGGAAAAGAAACUAACAAGGAUUCCCCUAGUAACGGCGAGUGAAGCGGGAAGAGCUCAAAUUUGAAAUCUUAAAGGGUUUCCCUUUACGAAUUGUAGUUUAAAGAAGUGUUUUCUGUUGAGGUUUUGGUAAAAGUUCUUUGGAAUAGGACAUCAUAGAGGGUGAGAAUCCCGUAUUUGACCUUUACUUUCAACUUUGUGAUACACUUUCGAAGAGUCGGAUUGUUUGGGAAUGCAGUCCAAAAUGGGUGGUAAAUUUCAUCUAAAGCCAAAUAUUGGCAAGAGACCGAUAGCAAACAAGUACCGUGAGGGAAAGAUGAAAAGAACUUUGAAAAGAGAGUUAAACAGUACGUGAAAUUGUCAAAAGGGAAGCGUUUGACACCAGUGUUGUUUUUCUGAAAAUCAAUUAAAGAACUGUUUAUGCUAAGCUGUUUAGACUUUAUCAGCUAACUGUUUAGUUUUGAGCUUUUCUUUAAUGCACUUUUCAGUUAACAAGUCAACAUCAAUUUCUUUUGCUGUAAAAAAGCUUGAGGAAGGUGGCUUGAGAUUCGUCUUAAGUGUUUAUAGCCUCUUGCCUAUGCAGUCGGAGAGAUUGAGGUCUGCAGCGUAGAUCCUUCGGGGCUAAAUGCAUUUGUGCUAAGUUAUAGCAUUUUAUAGACAACUUGUUGACUAUGAUUUGUCUUGUAGCUUACUCGCUUAUGUUAUUUUACCUACGCUUAGGAUGUUGAACGCGCACAGAGUCUC